RNAcentral lists this long non-coding RNA (844 nucleotides) under Dromaius novaehollandiae (emu). RNAcentral's name for it is "lncRNA (ENSDNVG00000012325.1)". The record is from RNAcentral. Lineage: Eukaryota; Metazoa; Chordata; Aves; Casuariiformes; Dromaiidae.
CCAGUUUCUGGGAGCCGACGGUGGGGCCAAGAGUAGGCGGGAUUUCUGCCCUCGCCAGCCCCUUCCCGCCGGCAGGACCUGGCUCCCAAGCACGCCAAGCUGCCGCGGCGUUAAUGCUACAUCACGUUGACCUGCCGGCUGCCGGGGGCUGGCUGGCCCCRUAACCUGCCUGCAGAGCAGUUGGGCUGACCCACAGCGAGGAAGAGCUUGCAGAUGCAUGUUGCUUUGCUGCCYUCCGUGCCGGCGGCUCCUCUGGCUCCCUCUUCCCUGGGCCCUGCCAGUGGGAGAGCCGAGGAAUGAGCCGACGCCAGCCCGGGGACCCCAUGGCUUCGCACACCCCGUGCUGGGACAUGGAUGCAGCGAGGCCAGGAGGAAGGCUCAGCGCCGCUCUCCGCCAGGAUGCRUUGGCACAAGGGCAGUUUUUAUUACCCGGGGGGGGCUGCUCUGGUCUGCACAAGCGUCCGAGCGCCGCGGGGUGCACAGAUCCGCAGGUUCCAUCCAACGCGACCGCAGCCGCAGAGCCGGGAGAGCAAGCGUGGGUUUUCCUGGGGCUCCUCCCUGCUGCCGCCGGCCUGUGGGCACCGGCGCCRGCGGAGGGACCCGGACCAUGACACAGGCUGGAUUCGGCCUUGGACACAGGCAAUGUGAUAAACGAAAACAACAAAAAGCCAGAAAAUCCUCACCUUGUGUUUUCCCAAAGCCCAAGCACCCCAAAACAGAGUUAGCUAGAAAAAUUCAUCAUUCUUCCCUUCUCCAAAAAAAAGGAAACAUUGCAAUUUCUUUUUUUCUUUUUUUCUUUUUUCUUGGGGGGUGGGGGGAGACUAGCCCGAACUGUGUUGGAUAA